AUUGAACGCUGGCGGCAGGCCCAACACAUGCAAGUCGAGCGGAUGAAGGGAGCUUGCUCCUGGAUUCAGCGGCGGACGGGUGGGUAAUGCCUAGGAAUCUGCCUGGUAGUGGGGGAUAACGUCCGGAAACGGGCGCUAAUACCGCAUACGUCCUGAGGGAGAAAGUGGGGGAUCUUCGGACCUCACGCUAUCAGAUGAGCCUAGGUCGGAUUAGCUAGUUGGUGGGGUAAAGGCCUACCAAGGCGACGAUCCGUAACUGGUCUGAGAGGAUGAUCAGUCACACUGGAACUGAGACACGGUCCAGACUCCUACGGGAGGCAGCAGUGGGGAAUAUUGGACAAUGGGCGAAAGCCUGAUCCAGCCAUGCCGCGUGUGUGAAGAAGGUCUUCGGAUUGUAAAGCACUUUAAGUUGGGAGGAAGGGCAGUAAGUUAAUACCUUGCUGUUUUGACGUUACCAACAGAAUAAGCACCGGCUAACUUCGUG
Molecule: ribosomal RNA, 484 nt
Filed under: uncultured bacterium
Lineage: Bacteria
Description: partial 16S ribosomal RNA
Rfam family: Bacterial small subunit ribosomal RNA
Source: RNAcentral